GAUAGCUGGACGUGCAGUGGCGAGCAAAGGCAACCGUGCGGCCGCACCACGCCGUGGUGGGCCUGCGUCAGGUCGGUGCCGUCGGCCGCUGAGGACCAGUGUGAGGUUGGAGGCUAGCGGCGAGUAGGUCGGUCACCCACCCGACCCGUCUUGAAACACGGACCAAGGAGUCUAACAUGUGCGCGAGUCAAUGGGUCUUGAACAAGCCCAGAGGCGCAAUGAAAGUAAAGGCGAGGCACCAGCCCGCCGAGUCGGGAUCCCAUGUCAAGCAUGGGCGCACCGACGACCCGUCUUGUGCAGUUUACUGCUUAGGCGGAGUGUGAGCGUACACGUUGGGACCCGAAAGAUGGUGAACUAUGCCCGGACAGGACGAGGCCAGAGGAAACUCUGGUGGAGGUCCG
RNAcentral lists this ribosomal RNA (401 nucleotides) under Alopecosa aculeata. Its description in RNAcentral is "Alopecosa cuneata partial large subunit ribosomal RNA". It matches the Rfam family "Eukaryotic large subunit ribosomal RNA", at positions 591 to 877 of the family's 3401-position model. The record is from RNAcentral. Lineage: Eukaryota; Metazoa; Arthropoda; Arachnida; Araneae; Lycosidae.